GACGAACGCUGGCGGCGUGCUUAACACAUGCAAGUCGAACGGAAAGGCCCUGCUUUUGUGGGGUGCUCGAGUGGCGAACGGGUGAGUAACACGUGAGUAACCUGCCCCUGACUUUGGGAUAACCUCAGGAAACUGGGGCUAAUACCGGAUAGGAGCUCCUGCUGCAUGGUGGGCGCUGGAAAGUUUCGGCGGUUGGGGAUGGACUCGCGGCUUAUCAGCUUGUUGGUGGGGUAGUGGCUUACCAAGGCUUUGACGGGUAGCCGGCCUGAGAGGGGGACCGGCCACAUUGGGACUGAGAUACGGCCCAGACUCCUACGGGAGGCAGCAGUGGGGAAUAUUGCACAGUGGGCGGAAGCCUGAUGCAGCAACGCCGCGUGCGGGAUGACGGCCUUCGGGUUGUAAACCGCUUUCGCCUGUGACGAAGCGUGAGUGACGGUAAUGGGUAAAGAAGCACCGGCUAACUACGUG
RNAcentral lists this ribosomal RNA (468 nucleotides) under uncultured bacterium. RNAcentral's name for it is "partial 16S ribosomal RNA". It matches the Rfam family "Bacterial small subunit ribosomal RNA", at positions 28 to 507 of the family's 1533-position model. The record is from RNAcentral.